CCCCCUCCCUCCCCACAGAGGAGGAGACAUACCGGGAUACCAAACCCCCCCCCCACAGAUGAGGACACCUAACCGGGAUACCAAACCCCCCUCCCCACAGAUGAGGACACCUAACCGGGAUACCAACCCCUCCCUCCCCACAGAGGAGGAGACCUAACUGGGAUACCAAAACCCCCCCUCCCCACAGAGGAGGACACCUAACUGGGAUACCAAACCCCCUCCCUCCUCACUAAAAAAAUAUAAUAUUUCAUGUUUAGCUUCUGCUUCUCUGCAUGGAGCCUACGGUAGUAUUACCCUCAAUAAGAAAAUGGUGACUUCCAUAUUGCUAUUCAUUUUUACAGCAUUUAUGUAUUUUUAAUUUGUAUUAUAUACAUAUUAUGGCCUAUACAGAACAAAAUUGAAACACGGAACAAAAUGUGCAUAGAAAAACAAAAUAGUCAAAUGAGUUUUCUAGUGCCUUGAACUUUAACCCUCUUAUUUAUGUCCUACAUACUCAAACGGAAGUGCCUCCCUGGACUAUAGUCAAUUAGAUCAGAUCCUCUAUACCGGUCACGAGAUGCAUUAUUAUAGUACCAACCAACCUGCACAGUCAGAAGAGGGUAACAGGUAAACAGUAAUAUAGAAUAUGUCGUUAAUGGUUCCCAGUACAGACUGUAAUAUAGGGCCUGAGGACAGAGAGGAACCACACACACACACAGCUGUCCAGGAGGAGAGAGAGAGACAGAGAGAGAGGGGGGGGGAGAGAGAGAAAGAAGAUGAGUGAGAGAGUGAACUUGACAGAAACAAAUAUGGAAUGGCAUCCACUGACCCUUGAUGUGGGAAGUUCAACAGAGGCCACGUUCUAGAGCGGUCACAUGGUUCUAGAGUGUUCACAUGGUUCUAUAGAGUUCACAUGCAUGGUUCUAGAGUGUUCACAUGGUUCUAUAGAGUUCACAUGGUUGUAGAGCGGUCACAUGGUUCUAGAGUGUUCACAUGGUUCUAGAGUGUUCACAUGGUUGUAGAGCGGUCACAUGGUUCUAGAGUGUUCACAUGGUUCUAUAGAGUUCACGUGGUUGUAGAGCGGUCACGUGGUUGUAGAGCGGUCACGUGGUUGUAGAGCGGUCACGUGGUUGUAGAGCGGUCACAUGGUUCUAGAGUGUUCACAUGGUUCUAGAGCGGUCACAUGGUUCUAGAGUGUUCACAUGGUUCUAGAGUGUUCACGUGGUUGUAGAGCGGUCACAUGGUUCUAGAGUGUUCACAUGGUUGUAGAGCGGUCACAUGGUUCUAGAGUGUUCACAUGGUUCUAUAGAGUUCACGUGGUUGUAGAGCGGUCACGUGGUUGUAGAGCGGUCACAUGGUUGUAGAGCGGUCACGUGGUUGUAGAGCGGUCACAUGGUUCUAGAGUGUUCACAUGGUUGUAGAGCGGUCACAUGGUUCUAGAGUGUUCACAUGGUUCUAGAGCGGUCACAUGGUUCUAGAGUGUUCACAUGGUUCAAGAAUGUUCAAAAGGUUCUAGAGUGGUCACAUGGUUCUAGAGUGUUCACAUGGUUCUAGAAUGUUCACAUGCUUCUAGAGUGUUCACAUGGUUCUAGAGUUUUCACAUGGUUCUAGGGUGUUCAAAUGGUUCUAGAGUGGUCACGUGGUUGUAGAUUCUAUCCAUCCAUCCUCUGUUUGUCUGCCUGUUAAGUCUGUUGUGUGACAACAAACAAAACCCUUUUGUAUAGAAACAGCCUUCCAUUGUGCCCAGCGAUCACCUUCCAACUCUAAGAGAUGUGUUUCUGGGGCAUUACUGAAUCAAGACCUUCUGGCAUAUCCAAACUUGCACCAACUGUUGUUGUCGUUCACUAAACGAUAAUAACAACAAGCAUCGAUAUUCUGCUAAAAGUGACUGAACAGUGCCCAUGUCUCUGGCUGUAUUAUGGGAAUGAUAGUGUAUUUGACAUCGUCACAGACAUACCUGUCUAAACAACGAGCUCUACUGCACUAGUAAGUCCCCGACCGUCCCCUUCCACACUCACCCCUGUCUGUCUCCCUGUCUGGCUGUUUGUUUGUUUGUUUGCCUACCUUCCUGCCUGCCUGCCUGCCUGCCUGCCUGCCUGCCUGCCUGCCUGUCUGUCUGUCUGUCUGUCUGUCUGUCUGUCUGUCUGUCUGUCUGUCUGUCUGUCUGUCUGUCUGUCUGUCUGUCUGUCUGUCUGUCUGCCUGUCUGCACAGAGCUACUCAGCAUUCAUCUCAACAUGAUGUCUGCGUCCCAAAUGACACCGUAGUCCCUGUUUAAUGCACUACUUUAGACCAGGACCCACAGGGUGCCAUUUGGGAGGCAGAAAAGAGCAUUAUGAACGUUAUGAAAGCCAAAGGCAUUAGUCACUUUGCAUGCAAACAAAAUGGCAGCCCUCCGCUUCUGUUUUGGAUGACAAGAGAAAGAGCAUAGGAGAGAUGGAAAGAAGUAGAGAGGGAGUGAGGGAGUGAGGGAGUGAGGGAGUUGGAGCACGACAGAGUGCCAGCCGGGCGGGAUGUAGGAAGGAAGGAGGGAGAGGAAAUUAAUGCUGUGUUGUAACGUUUCAUGUUUCAGCUGGCUGUAGAGGCUUACCUGCUAUGUUGUAACGUUAUAUGUUUCAGCUGGCUGUAGAGGCUUACCUGCUAUGUUGUAACGUUAUAUGUUUCAGCUGGCUGUAGAGGCUUAGCUGCUAUGUUGUAACAUUAUAUGUUUCAGCUGGCUGUAGAGGCUUAGCUGCUAUGUUGUAACGUUAUAUGUUUCAGCUGGCCGUAGAGGCUUACCUGCUAUGUUGUAACGUUAUAUGUUUCAGCUGGCUGUAGAGGCUUAGCUGCUAUGUUGUAACGUUAUAUGUUUCAGCUGGCUGUAGAGGCUUAGCUGCUAUGUUGUAACGUUAUAUGUUUCAGCUGGCUGUAGAGGCUUAGCUGCUAUGUUGUAACAUUAUAUGUUUCAGCUGGCUGUAGAGGCUUAGCUGCUAUGUUGUAACAUUAUAUGUUUCAGCUGGCUGUAGAGGCUUAGCUGCUAUGUUGUAACAUUAUAUGUUUCAGCUGGCUGUAGAGGCUUACCUGCUAAGAUGUUUGACACCAUGGAUGGACAGUACAGUGUAGUACGACUAUUUAUUUAGUCCUGCUCUUGAUAAUAUGUAUGAUGAGACACAUACCAACUUGCCUUUGGCUUGAAUGAGAGACACAGUCAAAAGAGGCACUUGAAGACUGUAUGUUUUUAAUUGGCUGGUUUUCAGACCUAUAUGAUAAAAAUAUAGAUUGUGCCCUUGUUAAUUGAAAGCAUCCUUUUAAACUGGUUUCCACGUUGGGAUAGUUCCAGUACCAGCUGCCUAAAGCACUAGAAUGUUCUAUAUUAGUUUAUUUAGAUUCUCACUAGAUUGUUCUAUAUUUGUUUAUUUAGUUUCUCACUACAUUGUUCUAUGUUCUAUAUUUGUUUAUUUAGUUUCUCACUACAUUGUUCUAUGUUCUAUAUUUGUUUAUUUAGUUGACCGCUUGCAGAGUGAUAAAGGGUGUAGAUAUAGGGUGUUAAUCUGAUAUGAUUCAACCCCUCUCCAAUACAGUUUUAUUAUAGGGUGUUAUCUAAAUGAUUCAACCCCUCUCCAAUACAGUUUUAUUAUAGGGUGUUCAUCUGAUAUGAUUCAACCCCUCUCCAAUACAGUUUUAUUAUAGGGUGUUCAUCUAAAUGUUUCAACCCCU
Oncorhynchus tshawytscha (Chinook salmon) is the source of this 3673-nucleotide long non-coding RNA. NCBI's taxonomy places the organism in Eukaryota, Metazoa, Chordata, Actinopteri, Salmoniformes, Salmonidae. The record is from Ensembl.